Molecule: long non-coding RNA, 1399 nt
Filed under: Homo sapiens (human)
Lineage: Eukaryota; Metazoa; Chordata; Mammalia; Primates; Hominidae
Description: HSALNT0405984
Source: RNAcentral
AGUCCGCCGUCCGCGGGGAGGCAGCCCAGGCGCGCACGACCCCCUCGAACACACCCCGGCCCCGCGCACCUGCUCCUCAUCGUGUCCGGAUGCGCAGGCGCCUGGGACCAGCGGAACAAGCCGGGGAGGGCUUGUUCGGCCACAAAGUUGGUUGCCGGGGUGGGGAGAAUGUGCUGGAUUACCCACCCACGAGCCAGGAGUCGGGGUGGGAGGAAUCAGCCUUCCUCCAGGACGGCGCAGCCCACCGGGCGCCUGCUAAGUGCCCAGCACUGACCUCACCUUUAGAAAAGAAAUCUACCUAUGCCACGAUGCGGAGUGAGUGCCGCUCCGCAAAAGCCAGUGCUUUAGAACUGCAGGGCCUGGUUCAAAUCUAGCUAGGUUGCUUACUGUUAUGUAAUUCUUUCCUUCUUUCUCUUUUUUCUUUUUCUUCUUUUUCUUUUUUUUUUUUUUUUUUUUUUUUUUUUGAGACAGAGUCUCGCUCUGUUGCCAGGCUGGAGUGCAGUGGCGUGAUCUCGGCUCACUGCAACCUCCGCCUCCCGGGUUCAAGCUAUUCUCCUGCCUCAGCCUCCCAAGUAGCUGAAACUACAGGCGCACACCACCACGCCUGGCUAAUUUUUGUAUUUUUAGUAGAGACGGGGUUUCGCCAUAUUGGCCAGGCUGGUCUUGAACUCCUGACCUCGUGAUCCACCCUCCUCGGCCUCCCAAAGUGCUGGGAUUACAGGCGUGAGCCACUGCGCCCGACCUGUAAUUUUUCUUUUCUGUUUUUUAGAGACAGGGUCUCGCUCUGUCACCCAGGCUAGAGUUCAGUGGCGCUGUCGGCUCACUGCAGCCUCCAACUCCUGGGCUCAAGUGCUGCUGCCAUCUCAGCCUCCUCAGUAGCUGGGACUACAGGUACACGCCACCACGCCCAACAGUGACAGGUUGGACACUACUGUACUGCCACGCUGGGUCGGGUGAGUGCCUCUCUCCUUCCCAUCUGUGGCCAAAAGGGGAGAGAUCUGAGAGGGAGGCUUCUGAGCCCCUGGCAGCUCCAGAGCCUGGCUCCGCCUCGGCGGCGCACACCUGCAGCACGUGAACUCCUCCAUAGGUCCCCACUUGGCUGCCUCUAGACUCAAGUCUCCUCACCUGGGUUAUUACUAACCCCUGCCCCUGAUUUCCAGAUCCCCACUCCAGGCAUCCACCCGAACACCAGAACCUGAGGAUUUUCUAAACUAUGAAUCUGACUGCUUAUCUCUUUCCUGUUUAAACCCUCCUACCGGCCUGGCGCGGUGGCUCACACCUGUAAUCCCAGGACUUUGGGAGGCCGAGGCAGGAGGAUCACUUGAGGUCAGGAGUUCGAGACCAGCUUGGCCAGCCUGGUGAAACCCCAUCUCUACUAAAAAUACAAAAAUUAGCCGGG